UGCUGAGCUGGAUAAAGUCUACCAAACUGAAAGGUCUCCAAGGCUAUAGCUGGCUGUCUGAGAAAUUAUGGUGUUUGUUUAGCCCAUCUUAGGACUUGGGCUAUCCCAGUUGCUCAGGCCAGAAACCUCCGUUACCAUCUCUUCUUACAUGUUUCACAUCCAAACCAUCAGCACAUCCGGGUGGCUCUGCCUUCAAGAUAGAUCCAGAAGCUAGGUCCUUUCCACUGCCUCCACCACGGCCACCUGGCCCAGGCCACCCUCCUCUGCCACAAGGGUUUUUGCCAUUGCCCUCCCUGGCUUCCUGUGGUUACAGUCAGAGACCUCGUCCCUCCCACUCAGCCUUCUCGAGGGCUUCUGUCUGCUCAGAGUCAAGGUCACGGCCCUUCCGAGGGGAUGUAUGCUCCGUAGGGAUGUAUGACUGUUCCGUCAGCUUCUCCCUGGAAGAGUGUCCAGCACGUUGAAUGAUGAAAGAAUUGAUCAGCUAUGAUAGAUCACAAGCCUCGUUCCAGAGGUCACACAUUGGAUUCAGAAGCUUCUAUUCCUUAUCUCCGUGAAAGAUUGCAACGAAAAUCUUGAUUUAAAAAUUCUCUUAUUGUCUAAUUAGGAAAGUUUUAUUGAAGUCCAAAUAUUCCCAUCCUCACCUUCCCACUUUUCACCGGGAGUCUGAGGAGGAAAUACUGAUAUAAAAAAUUUUUAAAUCAUCAUUUAAGAAAAACAAAAAAGGAAAUACUGAAAGACCACAGGCCAGUCUGGAAAAGGAGCAGACUCUCCCACUCUCCUGCUUCAGGGCACCUACGUUUGCCCUGUGCAGCCAGCAGGCAGAGUGCUCAUUACCUGCUCUCCACCCUCGGUUCUCACUCUGGGCCCCAGGGCUCGGCCACUGGGCCAGGCCACAUGUGCGGCCCUCCUUAGUUCCAAGCUGUUCUUGGACGUGGUCUCCUCCACCCCCGGAGCCUUUGCUUUCCUUUCCCCAGAUCUUCUUUUCCCAGACUUCCUGGAAUUUAUAAUCCAAAGGUUGUGUAAUUUCAGAAGCUGCGAUGGUUCCAAGAACUCCUGUCCCCGUCAGUCCGUCUUCUGCUUGCGCGGGCCUGGAGGAGACACUGGGGGUCAGUCCUGAUCCCGUCCCCAUCAGUCUGUCUUCUGCUUUUGCGGGCCUGGAGGAAACGCCGGGGGUCAGUCCUGAUCCUGUCCCCGUCAGCCGUCUUCUGCUUGCGCGGGCCUGGAGGAGACACUGAGG
Molecule: long non-coding RNA, 1237 nt
Organism: Pan troglodytes (chimpanzee)
Lineage: Eukaryota; Metazoa; Chordata; Mammalia; Primates; Hominidae
Exons: 3
Source: RefSeq, a predicted model, not a curated record